ACUGCUGCUCGCCUGACUAAUGAGUCUUUCAAAGCUUGGCGCCACUAAUGUAGCAGGCAGCUGUCCUCUUCAGAUCUUGUGUCUUUAUAUAAACUUUGACCUGGAGGCAUUUCUCUUAUGACAGUUCUCUUAUAGCACUCUUGCUUGUACUUUGGCGUCACUUGACUUUACAGCUGAACAUGAGCAACUUGAAAGCGUUGUGCUUCUUGUCUUUGGCUCUCUUUGCUAGUGUAAAGGGAGAUGUUCCUCCACCAUGUGACAGUGAAAUAUACUGCACCGGGCCCAUCUUGCACCAGGUCCAAGAAGCAAAACUGUUUGACGAUGAUAAGCAUUUUGUUGACAUGAAGCUGAGGUCGGCUCCUGAUGAUGUUUUGUCGGCCUUUCGCAAUCUUUCAAGCAAGUUUCCAAAUACAACCAUCCCGCCUGUGAAACUGGAGGAGUUUCUCAAUACAAGCUUUGAUCAACCAGGGACAGAGUUUGAGUCAUGGGCUCCGCCGGACUGGCAUGAGAAGCCAAACUUCCUGAGUGGGAUAGCAGAUGAUAAACUACGCGAGUGGGCAGAAAAGAUCCAUGGUCUGUGGAAAUCUCUUGGCAGAAAGAUCCAUUCUGAUGUUAAAGAUCACCCAGAGCUCUACUCUCAGAUUUACACCCCACAUCCCGUUGUUGUGCCAGGGGGGCGCUUCAGGGAGCUCUACUAUUGGGACUCCUACUGGGUCAUCAACGGGCUCCUGCUGUCAGAGAUGACAGAUACAGCCCAUGGAAUGAUCCAAAACUUCCUCUAUCUUGUCAACAGAUAUGGCUUUGUUCCAAAUGGUGGGCGGAUUUACUAUGAAAGGCGCAGUCAGCCUCCAUUCCUCACUCUAAUGGUGGAGAGCUACUAUCAAGCAACCAAGGAUAAAGAGUUCCUCAGAGCGGCUUUACCAGUUCUGGAGGUGGAGUACCAAUUCUGGAUGGAGAACCGUUCUGUGGAUCUAGAAUUAAAUGGGAAGCAGCAUGUACUGAACCGGUAUUAUGUAGAGGUGGGCUUGCCCAGGCCUGAAUCUUAUCUGGACGAUCUGGAAUUAGCUGAGGGACUCACUGAUGGCAAGAAAGAGCAGCUGUGGAUGGAUCUGAAAACGGGUGCAGAGUCUGGUUGGGACUUUACUUCCCGCUGGUAUAUAGCUGAUGGCAGCGACAACAGUGGCACCCUGAGAGACACGCGCACCAGUCAGAUCCUGCCCGCUGACCUCAACGCUUUGCUGUGCCGCAAUGAGAAAACUCUUGCGUCGUUUCAUCGGCUGCUCGGUGAUAGUGACUCAGCUGCAGUAUACGACCAGGCUGCAGCGAGGAGGCUGGAGGCGAUAGAGUCUGUGCUUUGGGAUGCUGAGAGGGGAGCCUGGUUUGACUACAACCUGAUGACGCGCUCCAAAAACUUUGAGUUUUAUCCCUCCAACCUGGGACCAAUUUGGGCACAGUGCUAUUCUCAGCCUGAGAUGGGAGAGAAGGCGGUACAGUAUCUGAAGGGGAGUGGAGCUCUCCAGUUUCCCAAUGGAGUUCCAACAUCACUGAAAGAGUCUGGGCAGCAGUGGGACUAUCCUAAUGCGUGGCCACCUCUGCAGCACAUGCUUAUCGAUGGUUUUUCCAAGCUACCUUCAGAGGAUGCUAAAAAACUCGCAUUCGAGUUGGCCCAGCGCUGGAUCAAGACAAACUGGCUGGCAUACAUUAAGUAUGAAGCCAUGUUUGAAAAGUACGAUGUGAACGGAGAUGGAAAACCUGGUGGUGGAGGAGAAUAUGAAGUUCAGGCAUGCAACUCUGAACACGCACACUUUCCUGGGUGGACAGCAGUAUUGUAAUUAACCUACAGCACGCUGCUUGGUACAGAAUCAGCACACCUCCACAGAUGUUCAGAGACUGUCUAGCUUCAGCACUGUUUGCCGCAGGGAACAUCUGGCACCACCCACGAUCUGGAUUCUUCUCCCUUGCAAAUGUGUUACAGGAAGAGGAUUUCAAAAUCACGUGGACGGGAAAAAGAGCACUGAUUAUGGGUCCACGGAGGAGAAAGUUUGUAUGGCUGACCAUUCACAAUGUCAUGUGGAGGUUUUUUGCUUUUACUAAAUAUAACCAGUAUCAUUCAAAAAUAUAGCAAAUUUAUAAAAGCAGCUGGAAAGUUUGUUUAAAAUGUUAAAAGAUGUUUUCUUGCAAAUCUGAAAAGGGCUAAAGAAAUACAACCCUAGGUUAAUUUAAACAUUCAUAUGCAAAAACAUAUCUAGCUGUAAGUCUAGGCUAGAAUUAAGUCAUUAAAAAUCAUACAGGACAAAACAAACAAAUAAAUAAAUAAAUAAAUAACAAUUAUCAAAAAUAGUCACAGUUUAAUUAUAUUAAAUGUCAUCAGUGACAAUGUAAGCAUUGACCCCUGAGCCUUUACUGUGAAAACAUCAUCUUCCUCACUGACUAUCUCAUAUGAUUGCCCUACAUGUUGCCACUAAGCAUGAAUUGAUGAUGCAGAUCAGGUACAUAGCAGACUGAAACAGAAAAAUCAUAAAAAGCAAUCUUUUACAAUGAUAGGCAAACCAAUUGAAAGCUGUUUAUAAAGAAAUAUUAGACUAUAAAAUAAUACCCCCUGAUGAAUUAAAAGAAGUAUGACUGACUUUUCUUUUUCCACAAAAUUGAUCAAACAUUCAUAAUCAAGUAGCUUUUGUCCAUUUGUCUUCAUUUUUCUUUGCUACACUUUGGCUUUGCUUCAGGCAAAUGUUAGUCAUUCUGUUUGGUGAUCCUUUAACCCACGACUGUGGUCCACUGUAGACUGUUGGAUGGAUUGUCAAGAUUUACAAAUAUUAAUGGUCUUGAGGGGAUAAAUCCAGCUGCUUUAAUGUGUGUUUAAUUCACUCUGAUAUAAUAAUAUGACUAGUGUGGCUUUAUAGGUCACGCUCACCGCCUUGGGGACAUUUCAGAAAAGCAGGUAAAAGUGUAUGUGUGACAGGUAGCUGGAGUUUCCUCUGGCUUUUUCAAAAUAACAUGGAUCAUUUUUUAAAGAUGUUUUUGAGUGUAACCGGCAGGAUAAAUGGAAGCUAGCUGUUGAAAUAGCAAUUUUGUGCAUCAGGAGUAACCUAUUGACUUACCCCUUGUUUUAGGUCAGUCCACACAUUUCUUCACUUAAGGUGGUUUGUUUAUGCGUUCAUGCCGAAAGCUUAAAGCAAACGAGCUGUCCAACAUAUAAAGUUAGUUUUUACUUGUAACGGCGUCACUGUUGAAGCCUUAUACUUAAAAAAAACAAAACAAAACUGCCAGUUAACUGAGCUAGUCGGAUCAUUUCUUGUUGUAGAUUAUUGGUAUUCAGCACUAGUCAGCAGAGGUUCUUCCCCUCUUUGAGAUUAGCUGUGCAGUAAACAGAGAAAUGCCACCUGUAUGUUGUUUUUCAGGACAGUCCCAUUGCCUCUGGGCCUCAGUCUUCAUCUCUGUGCCUUCUCUUCUCUUGGUUUAUUGACUCCAAUACCGAUGACUAUGGCUGACCAUCAAAAUGAAAUGGCGUGUGACCAUGGCGUAAAAGACCACUUAGCUAUGGAGUUUCAACAAAGUUCGCAUUACACAUGUAAACAAACCAACCUGAGCAGAUUAAUGCCUGUGAUUAAGUCAUACAGCAAUGAGUCCCAGAUGGAGAUCCCUAAUUCAGUAAGCCAAGUGGUCAUUCCGGGUGGCCAAUUUCUGUGUUUACUUUCGGUCAGCUCAAGUAAAUAAAAUGUUCUUGAUGAAAGUUUGUACAGACGUUAAUGGUUCCCAGGCUGUGAAUGCAACACAUCCCCCGACUCUUUCUAUGGCACAGCUAGAAAUAUGUUGUUUUGAGUAAAAUGUCACACAAAUUGACAAAUUGAUUUUUCCUCUGUUUUUAUUGAUGCAUUAUUACUAUUAUAUAAGUAUUAAUAUCCCUCUUAACACUGGAAUGAGUCCUGUUUGACUUUGUAGAUUAGAUAGAAGGUAGAAAGAACGGACUGACAGAAUUGAUGAAUAAUCAUUAGCAUUAUCCUUAUUGAUCAGCUGAUCUGUUUCUCUCCAGAGAAAGACAGACAGAAGGAGGUGGGCAGUGUGCGCAGUGUAAGAGUCCUCAACUGCUUCCAGAUGGUUAAGAAAAAUGGUGGGAUUGAUCAAGUCAAGUUUAUUUCUAAAUCAAUUUCCAGGAAAACAUCUGUGACAAAGAGCUUCACAGACAGUAAACACAGAUAAAAAACAAGGACACAGCGUCACAGAUGAGACACACAGAGUGACUGAUGGUUCAGUGUGCUCUCUGUAGAUGUACCAUAUCCCUUCUAAUGGGCACUAGGGGGCAGAUUAACUAAUCCUCUUUUUGUGAAAUAGUGAAUAAAUAAAUUACUAUGUGAGCGAAUUACUUUAUAGAUCCAUGGAGCUUUGUAUCAAAAAACAAAGACAAAUAAAAAGGGGGCAAAAACAAGAGCAGGAUUAAAUCCAACAGAUGAAGCUGAGCUUCUGUAUGAAGUGGAGAAGCUUUAUAUGGAUACUUGCAUCAGUAUGGAGGACCGAAACUGCCAAAAAACAAUCAAAAUAUAAAUCAAUGACUAAAGAAAUAAAGAUGCAUAAAGAAAUAAACAACAUAAAAAUGUUGUUAUUCAUUGAUUUAUAAAUUGUGACAGGCAGAGCAGUCUAAAAACAUCUCUCGCCCUUUUCCAUCAGCAAACUCAAACUUUUAUGUCACCUUUUUUAAAGCUACUGUGUCAGACUCUGUUGACAAAAACAGUAACUUUGGUCUAUUCCUCAUUCUGUGUUUGGAAUAGUGUGUCUUUUUUGCCAUUUUGAUGCAAUUUGAGGCAAAAUUGCUCCUUCAGUUCAUUCAGACACUGACUGAAAGAUUUCCCAAGGGCAACAAAUAAAAGCUUGUCAGUUGCCCUAACACGUUUUUUCAAAGCUGCAUAACAAGAAUUUUAAACUUGCAGAAUAAUUUUCCUUCGAGUUCUUGUCAGUGUACGAGGAUGCACUUUAUGUUUACAGUGGGAGCCCAUCUGAUUUCUAGUAAAACGUAAGUGGAUGUAUGCGCUAGCAUGUUCAGUGUUCAUACAAAAAUAUAUGGACACACUUUAAUUUUAUGCCUUUGAAAAACUAAUUCGCAGCACUAUUAAUUGUUACAUUUUGUCCAACACUGACAUUGAGUAGUAACAAAUUUAAAAAAAAUGGAAGAAAAUAUUUUUUUAAUCACAGCUUGAUCACUUUUUUGCAUGUAUUUCCCAUUUACCUUUUACCCAAAGAAACCUGUUCUGGCUGUUACAAGUCAACAGCACUGUGCAAAAAUGCAACAAUUACUUUAUGUUUAGUUUGGAGCAGUUGAAGCAGUCUUUAAUUUAGGUAGAUUAUAUUUGAGGCUGUAAACCUGACCUAUUCAGAGCCAUGGGAUGUUUCACAGAAUUAGCAUCCUUCAACCAACUUACAGCUUUUUCAUCUUUAUCUUUAGUUUUAAAUUUUUUUGCAUUAAAGUAAGUAAUUGAGAAACUUGUCUAAUUGUGUAAAUCACAGUAAAGUUGACAACAACAGUUAAAAGUUGAGAAAAUUAAAAAAGCUACUGAUGAUGCUGCCUUGAAUUUUUUUUAGUUUUCUCAACAUUUCUUUUUUUUGGCAGUUUUGGCCUUCCAUAUCCGUGUGAGGGGAUGAAAUGUCAUUGCAGCUCACUUGAGAAAUAAGUAAAUGACAGGCUGCAGGCAAGUAGAUAAGGGGGAACGAAAGGCUAGCAGCUGAUGCUAGGGAGGGGGCAUUGUAGUGGAAGGCAGUCAGUCGGACUCCUGAAGUGCUUCUUGGCACGCCUCAGUGGAAAAAGCUGCCGACUGAAAGUGCUCCAUUGCAUUGACAUUUUGUCAUCGAGAGGGUGGAGGACAUUGUCCAUAAUAGCAGACCGCAAACAUCGUUUUCUCCACCACUACCCCGAGUGAUUCUGGUUCAUCCCUCAAGCAGCACUGGCUUUUCUCAAUUCUUACCAACUUGUUCAGAAAUGUGUGUGUCCCCUGAAGUGACAGUGCACCUCACUAACAAACACCCUCCGUCCUGUCAGAAAGAUUAUGGACUUCUUUCACAAUAGCUGGUCAGGUAGAGGUUUAAAGCUGAAUAUAGCGUAUUAGUCGAUCCUUCUAGAAUUUAGUAAUAAAAUAUUUAUACUAAAAGUAUUUCUCUGACUCAAAAAGGUCAUGUAUUACACAUGACCUGUCUUUUUAAGAAAAGUAAUACAUUACCUUAUUUAUUCAGUUAGAACUUUAUGCUUAAACUACUCACAUUAUUUUUGUGGUUAGUCUACAAUCACCUUCACUAUGACCUGAUGCAUUGUCAUCCAAAUUAAAACUUAUAUUAUCCAACACAAAACUGUGACCUACUGGUGUUUUUGUGUAAAAUAAAGCAAUAGGCAUGUGUUGAACCCUAAGUAGUAUUUAAAUAACCUUUUACAUAUAACAUUUCAUGCACUGUCAGUAAUCCAGUUUUCUAUCAAAGUCACUCUUGAAGUUUUCAGAGUGCUGGCCUUCUUCCACAUGAUGCCUGGAAUUGGGGUCUCCAUGUCCCCUCAGAGAUCUACCUCCCAAGGUGAAAAUUACUGUGUUCUAUUCAGUUCAAUCUUGCAAAUGUAUUCCCAUGUCCCCGGGAUACUUUUGUCUGUGCCUGUAAGCUUUUUUUUUUUUUUUUUGAUUACAUGGUCAGAAGCAAAAAAGGGUGCUUCACAACUAUGCUUCACAGCAAACAAACCGCUCAUAGUUUUUCUGGAAUUAUUUGAGGCUAAAUGACUGAGAAAAAAAAACAUGUUUUUUUAAAAUAAAAGUAGCUAAUGUAGAAAUUCAUGCACUCUGAAAUUCUAAAAAAAUGAUUUGUUAUAAAGCAUAAUAGUACAAAUAUUCAUUUGCCAUACAUUAGCAUAUAGACAAUAUUUGGGAAGAUUCUGAAAAUUGGGCUUUUUUUCAGAGGUGGGUGUAAAUUUUUAGAAAAUACAUAAUUAUAAUUUAGCUUUUAAUUGUGGGAUAAUGAUAGGAUGAUUUUGUUUGUCCAUAUAUCAUUAGAGUAUUACAAUAACAGUUUAGAUAUUUCUUAGUACGUUUUCUAUAUCCCUGCAAAGGACUAGCAACCUGUCCGGAGUGUAUCCCACCUCUUGCCCUUUAACGGUCGAAGUAGUCUCCAGCCAACCCGCGAUCCUUAAUUGCCAGUUAGGGAAGCGGAUGGAUGAACUGAAGUCUCUCAGAACAAAUGUCCUCUUCAAAAACUUUCUUUUACAUGACUAAGGAUCCAAAAUCAUAGCAUAUUCAGUUUGAAAUGAGAUGAUACACAGCUGGAAGAAGUGAAAAUGUCUGCUGGAUAUACAGCAGAGUGUUUAUUCCCACUCUGCAUAUGAAGUAUGAAAAUAAAUGGUCUAAAAAAUCUGAAACUACUCACUUUCCUUCUUCUACACAGCGAUUUCCUGCAGUAAAUGACAAUAAUACAGACACCUUAGUUUGAAUUGUUAUCACCAAAAUGUACCAGUAACAUUGUGACUCUCGACUAUCAUCUUUCCAUAAACUCCAAAGUGCUCUGUUCAUGUAAAACAUCCCUGCAGCCACUCUUUUGACACUUCUGUCAGGGAGUGCCUUUGCCACCAUGUGUCACUGUUGCAACGCUGUGCCGCUGAGUGCUUACCCGUUGUUUGUCUGCAGAAAGGUGGGGGGAGAGAGACAGAAAGCAGGCAGCUGCUGGGCAGAUCAUCAGUCUGUCGUUCCUGUAGUUCUCUCCCUCCUUCUCGUCCUCUCCCUCUUCUCCCAUGGCUCUGCAUGCCCCAGAAACAAGGUAGUUUGGUCUAAUUGCUCUAAUGGCGUUCCAUCCUCAUUAGACUCUUGACCUUGGCUGUGCGUGAUAAGAGUAGGUCACCGUGGAUUAGAAGUGGCCCCCUAGGUCUCCUCCACUCUCCCGUUUACCAGUCGAUACCUCUGACUCAAUUCACUCAUCUGAAAAACCUCUAGUGUUUCCCCAUUUGAAAUGGGGCUGCAUUUAAAACGGGUUUUGGCCUGUCUCUGCUGGACAGACCGGAUGAAUCUUACAUCAUAGAAGCAAGUAAGAAAAUUUAAUGAUGAAAUAUUGUCUUUUUAGUCUGUUUAUUGAACCUAUCAUUGGCCUAUUUGAAACGAUUUGACUUGACUAGACUAGACCUUUAUUUAAUAACCUGCUGUACUGAAAGACUGGCAUUAUUAUAAGCAAAGCUAUACAACACAUCUUUCAUGUGGUUCUCCUGCUGCUCAUUUAAUUCUUUGUUAUCAUAAAGCUAUGAUAAAUUGGUCAGCUCAAUAUAUCAGAUGAUAAUAAUGAAGAGAUAUUGGCGUGAGUGUGUAUGCUGGUCAUUAAUUGAAUAUCUGAGGUAAUUCAGAAACAAUGUCCUGAUUUGUUCAUUAUUGACCAGUUUGUGGGUGUACCAAAGAAUCUUUAGUGUCAGUUGAAGUGCACAAUAUCAGAUAUAUAAAGUGCUGUGCUGUGCUUAUAACUAAUGAAAAUGUUCAACUUUUGGAAGCUGUUACUUUGUCAUACUAUAAUACCUGAUUAUGCUAAUAGAAACAUUUAUUCAAGAGUUGAAAACUAUCAUCAAAAUAUAUAUAUUUUUAAUAUAUGCCUUUUUUUUUCUCCCCACGCAAGGACAUGCUGAUAUCUUCAAAUACUGACAAUCCCGAUUCCUUGAUGAUCCAUUAGAAUGCAUAAUCUAGUCCACAGUUUGGUUCUUUUGUCAAACCAACACCCCUGCACAGAAGCUGCAUUGGCUUCUGGAAAAAAAAAUAAAAGGUGAAGGGAUGGUCUCUAAAUGCAUGGUUCCCCCGUGAAGGAUGGAGCAGGAGGUGUGAGGGUGUGGGUGUGCUUUGCUGGUGACACUGUUGGGGAUUCAUUCAAAAUUGAAGGACACAGAUACCAAACACACCUCCAAGCUGUGUAAGGGCUAUUUGACCAAGAAGGAGAGUGAUGGCGUGCUGCACCAGAUGACCUGACCGCCACAGUGACCUGACCUACCCAAACGAGAUGGUUUGGAUGAGAUGUACCGCAGAGUGAAGGCAAAAGGGCCAACAGCAUCUCUGGGAACUGUUGGAGAACCAUUUCAGGAAACAACAUAGGAUGCUCUGAUUCUUGGUUCAGAGCUGACCGUGAUGGAUAGACAGCAGCAUCAGACCAACAUCAGACCAGUGACACAGUCUAGGUUUUUUUUGUUUGUCCUCUAUGAUAAAAUCAGGCGAGGGCACUGGCAGCUCAUCUUUUUGUCACUCACUGAAACACAAUCUGCAGGACCAAUCAGAUUUUAUCACUGCUUUUGGGGAACGACACGUCUCAUUCAUCUUUUCUGCUCUAUUCAAACUGCGCUGAUUGGCCACAGAAGUGAAUCAUCACAUUUUGUUACCUGCACCAAACUGCAUCGUCUCCCUCCUUACCCUGGUGUGUGAGAAACAUGAGGUAACACAUUUUCAACUUCUUGCCCCAUUACCAUUCCACAUCAUUUGUGGGGCAACAUGUUUACUUGUUUGCAAUGGCUGGCGUGAUGUACUUUUUCACAUUCCAGUUGCUCCGACUGUUUGUUCUCUUGUCUUUUCGGUUCAGGUUUGUCUUUUGCAAAUCCAAACUGCAGCAUCCAAACAAACACCUGCAUUUGAUGAAUGUUUUUCUUUCUUUUAUUUUUUUUUUUACCUCCACCCAUGGUGCAAUUUGGUUGUUUCCCCUGUGCUUUUUGUGAUUUUGACUGUCAUCAGCCUUUCCAUUUGAUAUACAUUAUAAAAAUCUAUUCCUUUUUAAGUCUCUAGCUCAGUCCAAAUAUAUGAAGGUGUCUUUUUUUAUUGAAAUGUCCUAAUAAUCAGUUUGUUUAACUCUUACAAUUCAGAAAUCACUUCGCAUUACCUGCUAGAAAGGAACUUUCUGUAGCACUGACUUAUUAUUACUAUUAAGGUUUAAGGGAAUUUUGUUUCCUAGCAACAUGUCUUUCUAGUAGAGCAAAUAGAUAUUACAUUACAAGACAAGACAAAGUAAAAAAAAUGAAAUUUAGCAGGUUCUUUUAAUAUCAAUGUGUUUCUACUUUGUGGAGUUGUAUCAGCUAUAAUGUUUGCAUUAUGUGCUGCUAACUGAAUAUUUGGGGGUCUUUGAAAAAAGGAGAAAUCUGAAGACGUCUCCUGUUUUGAGAUUUGUUUAUAUUAAAAAAAUUUUUUUUUUAAACUUUAAAAAUUCAUGAAGAGUAAAAAGGUUAUGCAUAAAAAAAGUUACAUUUCCUUUUAAUCACAGGAGCAGAAACAACAAACCGUCUUUUAACUAAUGGAUUCAAUCAAUUACAAGUGUGUAUACAUCCACUUAACAAAUAUGAUAUUAAAUAUUGUUUAAAAAAACUCAUGUUGCAAUUUAGGUUAAAAAAAAAUAUCAAAUUUUAGAAAAGACAACAGGCUCGAUAAAUUCUCUGCCUUACAAAAACGGGUUUAGAUUUGACUGAUAACCACUUCAAGGUGGUCUCUUUGGGUAGCAAUGUAAGACUGAGCAUUGAUGUUAUUUCUAGAUUGUUCCAAAUGGCAGUUUUAUAAUUUGGAUUCCAUUUUGGAGAAGAGGACAAAUUCAGAGGGAGGCAAAUCUGGUGAGCAAGCUACAAUUGAGCUCUUGAGGCCAAACACAUUUUCAUGUACUGUGUGCACUACGACAACACAGAGGAGACACAACAGAAGUUAGAACUCUGAACUGACAGUUUGAACCUGGGGGAUGAAUUCAAGGUUCACAACCCCUCAAAUGUUGGAAAAAAAGAAGGAGAAAACACUCCUGUUGCCUUUGGGAUUGGACAAUAUAGACUGAAGACUGCUGCUAAGCCUCUGGAUUGUAACUGGGGACCCAGCUCUUAUCAACAGCAAUGAUCCUUGACAUGAAAAGUUGGGUUAGUUUGACACAGAAGUUGAGGUUUGCUCACUGUUUGAGUCCGUGGUAACCGAUCAGAAUGGGACUUUCACUGAAUAAUGUAAAAGCAGAAACAGGAAGUAGUUCAAAAGUGCACAAACAUGUGAUCAUCAAGGGGAAAAUAGACAAAUUUAAAACAGGAAGUUGUUUGAGUUUUAGUUCAUGAUCCCACUUAAUAUGGCAAACAAAAAGCUUUUGUUCAGCUGCUCUUUUGUUUUGUGAUACAACAAAGUAAAUUGCUGUGAUGUAGCUCUAACACAUGUCAAUGCUGAUGCAAAGAGAGUUUGAUUGAGUAUUGUCUAGAAUUUACUGCUCACUGUAGAGAACCAUAUUGGAUGUUUAUUAUCAGGACACGGUGAAAUAAUCAAUGAUGGAGUGAAUCAUUCAUGUCAUUCAUGAAGACCUUCUAUGACUCUGUGGUGGCUUCUGCUAUCUUUUAUGGUGUGG
Maylandia zebra (zebra mbuna) is the source of this 11322-nucleotide non-coding RNA. The record is from RefSeq and is a predicted model, not a curated record. NCBI's taxonomy places the organism in Eukaryota, Metazoa, Chordata, Actinopteri, Cichliformes, Cichlidae.